UGGGGAAUAUUGGACAAUGGGCGCAAGCCUGAUCCAGCCAUGCCGCGUGAGUGAUGAAGGCCCUAGGGUUGUAAAGCUCUUUCACCGGUGAAGAUAAUGACGGUAACCGGAGAAGAAGCCCCGGCUAACUUCGUGCCAGCAGCCGCGGUAAUACGUAGGUGGCAAGCGUUAUCCGGAAUUAUUGGGCGUAAAGCGCGCGUAGGCGGUUUUUUAAGUCUGAUGUGAAAGCCCACGGCUCAACCGUGGAGGGUCAUUGGAAACUGGAAAACUUGAGUGCAGAAGAGGAAAGUGGAAUUCCAUGUGUAGCGGUGAAAUGCGCAGAGAUAUGGAGGAACACCAGUGGCGAAGGCGACUUUCUGGUCUGUAACUGACGCUGAUGUGCGAAAGCGUGGGGAUCAAACAGG
Molecule: ribosomal RNA, 404 nt
Filed under: Actinomycetes bacterium
Lineage: Bacteria; Bacillati; Actinomycetota; Actinomycetes
Description: Actinobacteria bacterium partial 16S ribosomal RNA
Rfam family: Bacterial small subunit ribosomal RNA
Source: RNAcentral